CUCAGGACGAACGCUGGCGGCGUGCCUAAUACAUGCAAGUCGAACGCUUCUUUCCUCCCGAGUGCUUGCACUCAAUUGGAAAGAGGAGUGGCGGACGGGUGAGUAACACGUGGGUAACCUACCCAUCAGAGGGGGAUAACACUUGGAAACAGGUGCUAAUACCGCAUAACAGUUUAUGCCGCAUGGCAUAAGAGUGAAAGGCGCUUUCGGGUGUCGCUGAUGGAUGGACCCGCGGUGCAUUAGCUAGUUGGUGAGGUAACGGCUCACCAAGGCCACGAUGCAUAGCCGACCUGAGAGGGUGAUCGGCCACACUGGGACUGAGACACGGCCCAGACUCCUACGGGAGGCAGCAGUAGGGAAUCUUCGGCAAUGGACGAAAGUCUGACCGAGCAACGCCGCGUGAGUGAAGAAGGUUUUCGGAUCGUAAAACUCUGUUGUUAGAGAAGAACAAGGACGUUAGUAACUGAACGUCCCCUGACGGUAUCUAACCAGAAAGCCACGGCUAACUACGUGCCAGCAGCCGCGGUAAUACGUAGGUGGCAAGCGUUGUCCGGAUUUAUUGGGCGUAAAGCGAGCGCAGGCGGUUUCUUAAGUCUGAUGUGAAAGCCCCCGGCUCAACCGGGGAGGGUCAUUGGAAACUGGGAGACUUGAGUGCAGAAGAGGAGAGUGGAAUUCCAUGUGUAGCGGUGAAAUGCGUAGAUAUAUGGAGGAACACCAGUGGCGAAGGCGGCUCUCUGGUCUGUAACUGACGCUGAGGCUCGAAAGCGUGGGGAGCAAACAGGAUUAGA
This 788-nucleotide ribosomal RNA is filed under the name Enterococcus faecalis. RNAcentral's name for it is "bacterial SSU rRNA". It matches the Rfam family "Bacterial small subunit ribosomal RNA", at positions 23 to 782 of the family's 1533-position model. The record is from RNAcentral. Lineage: Bacteria; Bacillati; Bacillota; Bacilli; Lactobacillales; Enterococcaceae.